UGGUAGGGUAAUAGCCUACCAAGGCGAUGAUAGGUAGCCGGCCUGAGAGGGUGAUCGGCCACACUGGGACUGAGAUACGGCCCAGACUCCUACGGGAGGCAGCAGCUGAGAAUAUUCCGCAAUGGGGGAAACCCUGACGGAGCAAUCUCGCAUGGACGAUGAAGGCUUUCGAGUUGUAAAGUCCUUUCGGCAGGAAAGAAUAAUACAGUAAGGAAAUGUGCUGUAGAUGACGGUACCUGCAAAAGAAGCCCCGGCUAACUACGUGCCAGCAGCCGCGGUAAUACGUAGGGGGCGAACGUUGUUCGGAAUCACUGGGCGUAAAGGGUGCGUAGGCGGCUCAUCAAGUCAGUUGCGAAAUUUCGUGGCUCAACCACGAAGCUGCUGCUGAUACUGUUGGGCUAGAGUCAUAGAUAGAGGUAGCGGGAAUUCCUGGUGUAGGAGUGAAAUCUGUAGAUAUCAGGAGGAACACCAAGGGUGAAGACAAGCUACUGGGUAAUGACUGACGCUGAGGCACGAAAGCUAGGGGAGCAAAUGGGAUUAGAGACCCCAGUAGUCCUAGCCGUAAACACUGUACACUAGCUUUAAAGGGAUGACGAAAGUCUUCUUUUGAAACGUAGCUAACGCAUUAAGUGUACCGCCUGGGUAGUAUGCACGCAAGUGUGAAACUCAAAGGAAUUGACGG
This 682-nucleotide ribosomal RNA is filed under the name uncultured bacterium. RNAcentral's name for it is "bacterial SSU rRNA". It matches the Rfam family "Bacterial small subunit ribosomal RNA", at positions 250 to 916 of the family's 1533-position model. The record is from RNAcentral.